CCUACGGGGGGCUGCAGUGAGGAAUAUUGGUCAAUGGUCGGGAGACUGAACCAGCCAAGCCGCGUGAGGGAUGAAGGUACAGAGUAUCGUAAACCUCUUUUGUCAGGGAACAAAGGCGGGGACGUGACCCCGGAUGAGUGUACCUGAAGAAAAAGCAUCGGGAAACUCCGUGCCAGCAGCCGCGGUAAUACGGAGGAUGCGAGCGUUAUCCGGAUUUAUGGGGUUUAAAGGGUGCGCAGGCGGUGUGUUAAGUCAGUGUUAAAAGCCCGGGGCUCAACCCCUGCCCGCCGUUGAAACUGGCAGUCUCGAGUUGGAGAGAAGUAGGCGGAAUGCGCGGUGUAGCGGUGAAAUGCAUAGAUAUCGCGCAGAACUCUGAUUGCGAAGGCAGCAUGCCGGCUCCACACUGACGCUGAGGCACGAAAGCGUGGGUAUCGAACAGGAUUAGAUACCCCUGUAGUC
RNAcentral lists this ribosomal RNA (459 nucleotides) under uncultured bacterium. Its description in RNAcentral is "partial 16S ribosomal RNA". It matches the Rfam family "Bacterial small subunit ribosomal RNA", at positions 338 to 795 of the family's 1533-position model. The record is from RNAcentral.